Molecule: ribosomal RNA, 380 nt
Filed under: uncultured eukaryote
Lineage: Eukaryota
Description: partial 18S ribosomal RNA
Rfam family: Eukaryotic small subunit ribosomal RNA
Source: RNAcentral
CAAUAGCGUAUAUUAAAGUUGUUGCGGUUAAAAAGCUCGUAGUUGGAUUUCUGCUGAGAACGACCGGUCCGCCCAUUGGGUGUGUAUCUGGCUCUUUCUUGGCAUCUUCUUGGUGAACGUUACUGCACUUGACUGUGUGGAGCGCUACCCAGGACUUUUACUUUGAGGAAAUUAGAGUGUUUCAAGCAGGCAUACGCCUUGAAUACGUUAGCAUGGAAUAAUAAGAUAGGACCUCGGUUCUAUUUUGUUGGUUUCUAGAGCUGAGGUAAUGAUUAAUAGGGAUAGUUGGGGGCAUCUGUAUCAACGCGUCAGAGGUGGAAUUCUUGGAUUGCGUUGCGACAAACUACUGCGAAAGCAUUUGCCAAGGAUGUUUUCAUUGA